Non-coding RNA from Cinara cedri, 665 nucleotides. Lineage: Eukaryota; Metazoa; Arthropoda; Insecta; Hemiptera; Aphididae. The record is from the annotation of a GenBank genome assembly.
UUGUCAUAGAAACGCACAUUGUUAUAGUCAUUUCACCAUAAUAUUGCAUAUACCAUAUAUUGUAUUGUUGACAAAGCAACACUAUCAACUGAACUCCACUGCAGUCCACUCAGAAUCGUUUUUUCGGAAGCAAUAAUUUAUCGUUGCUUACAGAUGUACAUUAAAUUUCCGACUGUAACCUACCUCCCUAACUUCCCACCUACAACAGUGGCUGCACCCACGUGCUAAGUAUAACAAUGUUUUUUUUUUUUUUAAUUUUCCUCGAUUAUACAUACUAUAUCGUGUAUUAAUGCCUGUACAAUUUUGAAAUUUAUCGAAACAUUUUACUUAUUCUGGAACUCACGUCGUAUGCUAUCUACACAAACGUUGAUCGCGUUGUAUGUGUUAUCUACGUCUCGGUCGAUAAAUGUGGGUUGGAUAUUGACGAUGUACUCUUUUGAUGUCUCGUAGUAGGUAGGUAUAAUUAUGUAUAUGGUAGUAUGAUAUCGGCCAAACCCGAUUUCUGGAUUAAAUAGUUAUUCUUUACAUCAGAUGUGUUUAACCUUUAAAACACUAGUUUACAUGUAUAUAAAUUGUACGGUCUAACACUCUAACCAGAAACCGAUAGAGAAAAUUAAAUCUACUCCAAUGGGGGUUUUUUUUUUUUUUGGAACACUUUGUUUUAA